GCAUAUCAAUAAGCGGAGGAAAAGAAACCAACAGGGAUUGCCUCAGUAACGGCGAGUGAAGCGGCAAAAGCUCAAAUUUGAAAUCUGGCUCUUUCAGGGUCCGAGUUGUAAUUUGUAGAAGAUGCUUUGGGUGCGGCUCCGGUUUAAGUUCUUUGGAAUAUUACAUCAUAGAGGGUGAGAAUCCCGUAUGUGACCGGUUGCCUAUCUCGUGUAAAGCUCUUUCAACGAGUCGAGUUGUUUGGGAAUGCAGCUCAAAAUGGGUGGUAUAUUUCAUCUAAAGCUAAAUAUUGGCCAGAGACCGAUAGCGCACAAGUAGAGUGAUCGAAAGAUGAAAAGCACUUUGGAAAGAGAGUUAAACAGUACGUGAAAUUGUUGAAAGGGAAGCGCUUGCAACCAGACUUGCACGCAGUUGAUCAUCCGGGGUUCUCCCCGGGGCACUCUGCUGCGUUCAGGCCAGCAUCGGUUUUGGUGGUUGGAUAAAGGCCUUGGGAAUGUAGCUUCUUUCGGGGAGUGUUAUAGCCCAAGGUGCAAUGCAGCCUACCGGGACCGAGGACCGCGCUUCGGCUAGGAUGCUGGCGUAAUGGUUGCAAGCGGCCCGUCUUGAAACACGGACCAAGGAGUCUAACAUCUAUGCGAGUUUUGGGUG
RNAcentral lists this ribosomal RNA (646 nucleotides) under Tetracladium sp. MG04. RNAcentral's name for it is "LSU rRNA". It matches the Rfam family "Eukaryotic large subunit ribosomal RNA", at positions 38 to 699 of the family's 3401-position model. Lineage: Eukaryota; Fungi; Ascomycota; Leotiomycetes; Helotiales. The record is from RNAcentral.